This 89-nucleotide microRNA precursor is filed under the name Dasypus novemcinctus (nine-banded armadillo). RNAcentral's name for it is "miRNA (ENSDNOG00000030375.1)". The record is from RNAcentral. Lineage: Eukaryota; Metazoa; Chordata; Mammalia; Cingulata; Dasypodidae.
AGGGUGACCAGCUGGCCUGGUUUGCCUGGGACUGGGGGGGUUCCCAGAACAUGGGACUUGCAUGCUAAACCUGGGAGGCGCUGGUCACU